Molecule: long non-coding RNA, 1226 nt
Filed under: Homo sapiens (human)
Lineage: Eukaryota; Metazoa; Chordata; Mammalia; Primates; Hominidae
Description: HSALNT0304834
Source: RNAcentral
GAUUUAUGUAGAGCUCACAGAUUGGUUCCAUCAGGUGUGACAUUUACAUAGCCCAGGGAAGGCUGGCCACCCUACCCUAAUCUUAUUAUGUAACUGAACUUUCCCCUUGGCCAGGGCCAUCUUGUCUGCUCCUUACUGUACAUGUGGCUGGCAGAGAAGGGAAGGUGGAGCCGCUAUUUUGAACAUGAUUGGCACAACUGCCAGCAUCUAUAUCUGCAGCUUGAUUUUACAGGCUGCUCUUUGUUAGAAAGGAACAUGAUUUGGGGCUACUUUUCAUUAAAAGGAAAACUGUACCGAAGACUUCCAUACCCUCACUAUCUGUGGAAUCCCUGGAAAGAAAUGAAGCUUCACACUCAGAAUAUCACAUUUAGUGAUUUCAGGAGACCAGCAGAAUAGGAAUUAAGCUGGAACUCCUAUACAGUUUAUUUUCUAGGUUUGGGACCUCUGCGUACCUCCUGUGGCUUUAUGGUACCUGGUAUUGUUUCCCCAGACCAUGAGUCUCCAGUGUUGGAGUGCCCACUUCAGAAGUCUGUGUGUUUUGCUUCAUCCUGAGGAUCCCAUCUUGGAUACCACAUUACCUUAAACACUGCCUCAGCCAGGUGAUCAAGGUCAACGUCUACUGUGAUAAGUCAUGGUUUUGGUGUGUACCCUUGAUGUGAUGUGAUAAAAAUGGCACUUUACCUCUGUGGUCUUCCUCUGAAAAAUCCCGUAACAGCAGCCUAAUCAUGAGAAGCAUAUCAACAAAACUCAGACUCAGGGACAUUCUACAAAAUACCAGGCUGUCCCUCCCUGAAAUUGUCAAGUUCACCAAAAACAAGGUGAAUCUAAGAAACCUGUUACAGCCAAGAGGAGCCUAAGAAGACAUGAGGACUAAAUAUAACAUGGAAUUCGGGAUAGGAUUGUGCUACAGAAAAUGUAUGUGCUAAUGUGAGAUGUUAACAGUUGGAGAAACUCAGUUUUGGGUAUAAGGAAUUCUCUGUACUAUGUUUAUCUAAAAACAAUUCCAUGGUGAGCAAACUUAAGCAUAGAAAUGUUAAAUAAAUUGUCCAAAAUAGAGAAGUAAAUAGCAGUGCCAGGUUUCAAGCAUAAGAAUCAUCAACUCUGAACUUUAAACACAGCUCUGUAUGGUACUUUUGUUUAUAUCAAUGCCUAGAUAGAUAAAUAGGUAGAUAGAUAAUUUCCAAGUGCUAGAAACAAAAAAGGAACUAAAACUGAUAAAGAAUAUA